UACGAAGGGGGCUAGCGUCGUUCGGAAUCACUGGGCGUAAAGCGCACGUAGGCGGAUUGUUAAGUCGGGGGUGAAAUCCCUCGGCUUAACCGGGGAACUGCGUCCGAUACUGGAUGGCUUGAGUUUGGGAGAGGGAUGCGGAAUUCCAGGUGUAGCGGUGAAAUGCGUAGAUAUCUGGAGGAACACCGGUGGCGAAGGCGGCAUCCUGGACCAACACUGACGCUGAGGAGCGAAAGCCAGGGGAGCAAACAGG
RNAcentral lists this ribosomal RNA (253 nucleotides) under uncultured bacterium. Its description in RNAcentral is "partial 16S ribosomal RNA". It matches the Rfam family "Bacterial small subunit ribosomal RNA", at positions 524 to 776 of the family's 1533-position model. The record is from RNAcentral.